Cercocebus atys (sooty mangabey) is the source of this 4411-nucleotide long non-coding RNA. RefSeq lists it as uncharacterized. Lineage: Eukaryota; Metazoa; Chordata; Mammalia; Primates; Cercopithecidae. The record is from RefSeq and is a predicted model, not a curated record. The transcript has 2 exons.
UCCUUUUCUGGUUAGGCCUCCCAGGCCUCGCAUCAUCUGGUCCUAGGUUGCCUCUUCAUUCUCUUUCUCACUACUUUCAUCCUCACACUCGCAGCUCUGGUCAUGUCCCCUGCAUUGGGGCAGACACCUCCUGGACUGUACCCCGGAAUGAAUGUCUCAAGCCUAGGCCUGCCCUCUGGAAAGAACAGCCAGCUCUCCCACAGUGGCCUUACUGACCCUGGGCCGUCUGUUGGGAGACCACCUAGCCUCCUGCAGGUGCGGAGCGGGUGCACAACUGGCCAGGCCAGGCAGUGGGAGACUCAGGCUCUGAAGGCCUCCUUUUCCUUUGAGGCCAAAGAUGGGCUGUGGUCAGCACAUGUUGGAUAUGCCUCAUAGAGGCUUAGUGAACUGGCGAUAAUAAUAGUACUACAAAAUGAAAAAGUAGUAAUACCUUAUAUUGUUGCUUUCAAGUUUGAAAAGCCUUUUCAUUAAUAUUAUCGAAGUGUAAUUCUCGCAACCUUGUAAGGUUAAUGGUAUCCAUCCAUCUUAUUAUUCCCAUUUUACAGAUGAGGAAACUGAGUCACAGAAAAGUUAUGCAACUUUCUCAGGUCACUGAACCUCUUUUUUUUUAAACCAUUCUGAUUUGUAAGUGCCUCUAUGUUAAAUUGGGGUAGAGGGUAAAAGAACAACCACUGCAAAAUGGUACAUGGGCAGUGUCUGGUCCAAAAGUGAGGGUCUGCAGGUUCUUUUGAAAGCAUCUCAGACAAGAGAAGGUCACUCCUGAGCCCUGAGGGCUGCCACCAACCUGGUUUAUAAAUUGAUUGUAUGCUAAAUGAGAACUGAGAUAUUGAGGCUGGGAUGGAGGCCAAGGACCACAUGAGAGACAAAGCUGGGCAUUGAUCACCGCAAGUCCUCAGCAACACGGGUUAUUACCAUGGCUCCUUCAUCAAACCGUAGUGAUACCUCCACAGGUCCUUAAUACUGUGAUGACUAGUGUCCCCAUCUCCUGUGUCUCCAGGCAGAGAGGAGGCUUCAAUUCAACCAUUUUGAACAAAGUGAUACUACCAGCCGAGGGGCAACUAGCAUUUUGCACACUGGGCAAAGGAUGCCCAAUACCCUGCCAUUCCUGAGACUGUCCUACAGAAUGAAGAAUUGUCCUGUGCCCUACACAACUGUCAAAUGACUAGUUGGACAAUUCUGGAGGUGAAAAACCUGACUUUAUCAUCUUAUACCAGGACUCAAUACAGGUUUGCAUGGUUUUAGAAAACAUUGAAUGCAUGCAACCAGUAUGUACAUUAAGAUUGUACUUAACAGUGUUCACAAUAUAGGAAAGCAUUGUAUCUGACAGCAAUGCUGCAUGUAGUUUUGGAAGCCCAGUUUGACCCACCUCAUCACUCUGCAUUGCUGAUGUUACUGGCACCAGGAGUCUGUUCAGCGGUGUGGUGCUGUGCUUCAUCAGGGCUUCCAAAGUAGUCAUGCCCAUACAUUUACGUAUGGCAAUACACAUUAAUUUAUCAUAAAUUACCCUUUUUACAGUUAAGAUGUUUGACCUUUUAAAAUUAUGAGUAUAAAUAUAUUACCUUUACUUUUAUUUCAGGAUAAUAAGGGAGUAUUAUGAUAUAUUUGUAACAGAAUAGAGGCAUUGAGUUUGAGAAUCACUGCUCUGAGCAAAUGGCAGUUUCCUUUUUUUCCUAGAAAACACAGGAUUUCAGGGUUAGAGGAGAUCUUGAGUGUCACUCAGUCCUUUCCCCACUCCAUCUAGUACUCAGAUCCCUGCAGUUGGAGGACCAAGGACCUUCACACACCUCUUACUCCUGUGAUGUGACUCUUUGGAGUUCCCAGGAUGGAAUCAAGUGGGAAAUCAGCCCGAAUGACCAAGGGCCCAGGUGCAGUGAGCUUCACCAGAUGUUGGCAUGUGGUAUUAUAGAUAUUGGGAUCCAAGAGCCAUUCAAGAUCUCAUCCACUUAAAGAGGUUGGCAUCAGCUCAGUGGAAAACCUAGACCUGCAUUGCAAGAGAAAAUACCCUUAGAGGCUCAGUCAAUAUCAGGGACCCCAGAAAUGCCAAGCUGGUGGACAAACACACUGUAUCUCAGAACAUACCCUGGUGCUGGAGUUCUGAAUGACUCCAUGGCAUCUGGUCCUCAAGAAGCACUGGGCUAGGUGGAAUGAAGUAAAUUGAUGGGCUGGGAUCAUUAGGAAACUAGAGGCAACUAAGUGAAGGUGUCUCCUCUUGGCACUUUGUUCCAGGAUCAAGCUUCAAUGACUUCAUAUUCUUGGAUGAAGGGGCUGUGUCAUGUCAGAAGGGCUGGCUUAGUGAGCUUCAGCCAGGGUGAACCCCAGUGACUUUGCUGACUCAGUGGCCCAAAGCUGCCUUGACUGGAGGUGGACCUGAGAGGCAGAAUGCUGGAUUAAACCACCUGCAACCAUGCUCAAAUCUUUCCCCCAUCUUUCUUCUCCACUGCUCUCACUACCCCAUGAAUUUGCCACUCAGUUGUUCCUUCCCAUGCCCUAUGCCCCUUCCACUGGAGGCUGGAUGGCUAUACUCCACCUACUUCCCUCCAGUCCCCCUGGACUGACACAGAGCCCUCUGUCUUCCUGUGGAAUGCAGUAGCAGUUCUGAGCAUGGUGCUGGACAAGAAGUCCAGCUCCCCUCAUAAACUUUUUAUAGCUUAGGAAAAUAAACAUGUGGUUUAAGGUCUUUGCAUAGGCAGUGCUCACUGAGUUUGAGCUUGCUUUACAGAACUACGAAAGAAAAUAUUGGUAGAGCUAAGAAAUUUCUGAGCCAGCCAAGGGACAGUAGUCCAGAAAUCUUGGGGAGGGUUUGAUGGUUCAGGCAAUAAAAAGAGAAGUCAUCUGUGUAGCUGUUAUCUCGCUCCGUCCCACUAAGAAUCUGCCUGCCUGAGUGAUGCAGCCAGGCUCCCUUGUUCCCUGGGGCAAGGAACCAGUAGAGGGAUAGGGAAUCACAGUGUUUCCCAGCUGCAAGGGCCCUUGGAGAUGGUUUUACAGAUAAGGAAGCAGGGUCCAGAGAAAGGAAGUGAUCUGCUGGGAACCACUGUACUUUUCACACAAGCAACUUUCCAGGCAUCUGCUAUGUGCUAUCCACAGGAUAGCAAGGGGUCCUGUCUCCAGUAAUGGGAUCUGCGGAGGAGUGCAGCUCCCCAGCCUGCUAUUUGCAGGAGCCCGAGUGGGGAAGCCUGUGUAGUCUCAGGUCCUCAGCCUUGAUUUUUAUGGUGUGGCUGUGGUGUCUCAGGACUCUGCGACCCAGGACCACCAUUGUGACCACCUUCCUAGUCUUCACUGCUUCCUUUACACCUCAAGUCUGAGGACCUGCUCCGAGCCACACAUGGUUCUGGGCUCUAGGAGUGGCAGAGGACUUGGGUGCCAUGAGAGUACCAGGUAGUAGCUCCAGCUCAGCCUCCCCUAACCCUGACUCAAACAAAACCAUCAGAUGCAUCCCCUACCACUAUCCAUCUGUCUGAGAAUUCUCAGAACCUUUCCACUGGUGGGAAUGCAAAGUGAUGCAGCCCUGUGGAAAGAACUUUGGCCAUUCCUCAAAAGUAUAUUAUAUAGAAUUACUAUAUGACCCAGCAACUCCCCUCCUAGGCAUAUGCCCAAAAGAAUUGAAAGCAAGGACUCAAACAAAUACUUGGGCAUACAAGCUUAUAGGAGCAUUAUUCACACUAGCCAGAGGUGGAAACAGUUGUCCAUCAGCAGAUGAAUGGCUACACAAGUGUAGUAUAUACAUCCAAUGAAAUACUAUUCAGCCAUAAAAAGGAAUGGAAUUCUGAUACAUUCUACAACAUGGAUGGACUUCAGAAACAUGCUAAGUUUCUAAGCCAAGCUAACAUGCUAAGAAGGCAGACACUGAAGGUCACAUAUUUAUGAUUCUGCUUAUAUGAAACAUCUGGAAGGAGACAGAAAGCAGAUCAGUGACUGCCAAGGCCUGGGAGGAGGAGAACUGGGGACUGAUUGCUUCAUGGGUAUGAGUUUUUCCUUGGAAGUGAUGAAAAUGUUCUGCAACUAAAUAGAGGUAGUAGAUGCACAACACUGUGAAUGUACUAACAGCUACUGAAUUGUGUACUUUAAAAUGGUUAAUUUUAUGUUAUGUGAAUUUCACCUCUAAGAAUUUUUUUUGUUUUUUGAGACCAAAUCUCACUCUGUCACCCAGGCUGUAGGACAGUGGGGCAACCUUGGCUAACUGCAACCUCCGCCUCCCAGGUUCAAGCAAUUCUCCUGCCUCAGCCUCCCAAGUAGCUGGGACUACAGGUGCCCAACACCACACCUGGCUAAUUUUUGUAUUUUUAGUAGAGAUGGGGUUUUGCCAUAUUGUCCAGGCUGGUCUUGAACUCCUGACCUCAAGUGAUCUGCUCACCUCAGCCUCCCAAAAUGCUAGGAUUACAGGUAUGAGCCACCGUGCCUGGCCUAAGAAAAA